ACCCUUUAAUGUUUGAUGUUCUAACGUGGACCCGUGAUCCGGGUUGCGGACAGUGUCUGGUGGGUAGUUUGACUGGGGCGGUCUCCUCCUAAAGAGUAACGGAGGAGCACGAAGGUUGGCUAAUCCUGGUCGGACAUCAGGAGGUUAGUGCAAUGGCAUAAGCCAGCUUGACUGCGAGCGUGACGGCGCGAGCAGGUGCGAAAGCAGGUCAUAGUGAUCCGGUGGUUCUGAAUGGAAGGGCCAUCGCUCAACGGAUAAAAGGUACUCCGGGGAUAACAGGCUGAUACCGCCCAAGAGUUCAUAUCGACGGCGGUGUUUGGCACCUCGAUGUCGGCUCAUCACAUCCUGGGGCUGAAGUAGGUCCCAAGGGUAUGGCUGUUCGCCAUUUAAAGUGGUACGCGAGCUGGGUUUAGAACGUCGUGAGACAGUUCGGUCCCUAUCUGCCGUGGGCGCUGGAGAACUGAGGGGGGCUGCUCCUAGUACGAGAGGACC
Molecule: ribosomal RNA, 492 nt
Filed under: Salmonella enterica subsp. enterica serovar Oranienburg
Lineage: Bacteria; Pseudomonadati; Pseudomonadota; Gammaproteobacteria; Enterobacterales; Enterobacteriaceae
Also listed under: 2 other names
Description: partial 23S ribosomal RNA
Rfam family: Bacterial large subunit ribosomal RNA
Source: RNAcentral